GGGGCUAUAGCUCAGCUGGGAGAGCGCCUGCCUUGCACGCAGGGGGUCAGCGGUUCGAUCCCGCUUAGCUCCA
RNAcentral lists this transfer RNA (73 nucleotides) under Proteus mirabilis. Its description in RNAcentral is "tRNA-Ala". It matches the Rfam family "tRNA". Rfam says of the family: Transfer RNA (tRNA) molecules are approximately 80 nucleotides in length. Their secondary structure includes four short double-helical elements and three loops (D, anti-codon, and T loops). Lineage: Bacteria; Pseudomonadati; Pseudomonadota; Gammaproteobacteria; Enterobacterales; Morganellaceae. The record is from RNAcentral.